Molecule: ribosomal RNA, 460 nt
Filed under: uncultured delta proteobacterium
Lineage: Bacteria; Deltaproteobacteria
Description: bacterial SSU rRNA
Rfam family: Bacterial small subunit ribosomal RNA
Source: RNAcentral
AAGGGACUUCGGUCCCGAGUACAGCGGCGGACGGGUGAGUAACACGUAGGGUAACCUGCCCUUCAGUGGGGACAACGGUCCGAAAGGACCGCUAAUACCGCAUCCGUUCUCUGGAGCCCUGGCUCUGGAGAGGAAAGCUGGGUAACUGGCGCUGAAGGAGGGGCCUGCGUCGCAUCAGCUAGUUGGUGGGGUAAUGGCCUACCAAGGCGAAGACGCGUAGCUGGUCUGAGAGGAUGAUCAGCCACACUGGGACUGAGACACGGCCCAGACUCCUACGGGAGGCAGCAGUGGGGGAAUAUUGGACAAUGGGGGCAACCCUGAUCCAGCCACGCCGCGUGAGUGAUGAAGGCCUUCGGGUCGUAAAGCUCUGUGGGGAGGGACGAACGUCCCGCAUAACCUGCGGGGGUGACGGUACCUCCUUAGCAAGCACCGGCUAACUUCGUGCCAGCAGCCGCGGUAA